GCCGGGCAUGGUGGCCCACGCCUGUAAUCCCAGCACUUUGGGAGGCUGAGGCGGGUGGAUCACCUGAGGUUAGGAGUUGGAGACCUACCUGGCCAACAUGGUGAAAGCCCGUCUCUA
This is an unclassified non-coding RNA of Macaca fascicularis (crab-eating macaque), 117 nucleotides long. It matches the Rfam family "Metazoan signal recognition particle RNA". From Rfam's summary of the family: The signal recognition particle (SRP) is a universally conserved ribonucleoprotein. It is involved in the co-translational targeting of proteins to membranes. Lineage: Eukaryota; Metazoa; Chordata; Mammalia; Primates; Cercopithecidae. The record is from Ensembl.